Oncorhynchus tshawytscha (Chinook salmon) is the source of this 1501-nucleotide long non-coding RNA. NCBI's taxonomy places the organism in Eukaryota, Metazoa, Chordata, Actinopteri, Salmoniformes, Salmonidae. The record is from Ensembl.
AUAACAAUCACUGUAGCUUUGACCAAUUCCCCCUAGGUUGUAAAGCUAGGGUUAAUAAGAAUUAGGCAAAGACUCAUAUUCUGCAAAAGGUUCAUUGUUGUUUAUUCAUGAGAGCUCUAAAGUCAACCAAAAUUCGAACAGUCUUUAUAACCUCCUCUAUGCACACACACACACACACACACACACACACACACACAGUUGUAUCACUUUUCUACCAGCCUUUGCAGUUUCUCGCCGUACUCUCCUCUCCUUCCUAGAUUAGAGAGGCCUUGGAAGGGCCCUCCUGUUGUCAGCUUUUUCAGAGUUAUCAUGUGUAGUCUACCAGCCUCUGUUUUCUCCACAUAUUUCUCCCUCUUAACUUGUCCCACACAUGUAUUAUUGGAAUAUAGUCUUAUAUGUUUCAGGGUGGAAUUCUUUAGUCAUUUCUUUAAACAUAUAAAUUCCCUUAUCAAUAGCCCAUCUGUAAAUAGCCCAUCCAACUACCUCAACCCCAUAUUGUUUUUUUUUCUUUUUCUCCUUUGCACCCCAGUAUCUCUACUUGCACAUUCAUCGUCUGCACAUGUCACUCCAGUGUUUAUUUGCGAAAUUGUAAUUAUUUCACCACUACGGCCUAUUUAUUGCCUUUCCUCCCUAAUCUUACUUCAUUUGCACACACUGUAUAUAGACUUUUGUAUUGUGUAUUGUGUUAUAUUUCUCAACUGCAUACAGUGGGGCAAAAAAGUAUUUAGUCAGCCACCAAUUGUGCAAGUUCUCCCACUUAAAAAGAUGAGAGAGGCCUGUAAUUUUCAUCAUAGGUACACUUCAACUACGACAGACUAUAACUAAUCAUAAUUCCAUUAUGUUUACAUAAAAAAGAGAAUACUUCAAAAUGAGAAGAUCCUGCCAUGGAAAAGACGACUACGUGGACAUAAAGUGUAAAGGAGGGGAAAUAACUCCCACCAUGCAGCAGGACACCUUCAGCUGUGGGGUCUUUGUAAUGCAGAGUUCAACAAAGCCAACAACUGCUUCAUGUGUGCCACUGAUAAAGAACCUGGAUGUGCCUCAAAGACUGACUGGACUGACUGUUUUACAUGCCAAUAGUGGUUCCAUGUGCUGUAACUAGGUAGGAAGACUAAAGAGUUCAACAGAGUAAAGAACACAAACUGGAAGUGCGGUCUUUGUUGUUGAAAAUGUAUGCUCUACCCCAUCCACACUGAAGAGGCUCUGACAUGUACAUCAACCAGAGUUAAUGUCUGCUCUACCCCAUCCACACUGAAGAGGCUCUGACAUGUACAUCAACCAGAGUUAAUGUCUGCUCUACCCCAUCCACACUGAAGAGGCUCUGACAUGUACAUCAACCAGGGUUAAUGUCUGCUCUACCCCAUCCACACUGAAGAGGCUCUGACAUGUACAUCAACCAGGGAUAAUGUCUGCUCUACCCCAUCCACACUGAAGAGGCUCUGACAUGUACAUCAACCAGGGUUAAUGUCUGCUCUACCCCAUCCACACUGAAGAGGCUCUG